Molecule: long non-coding RNA, 4480 nt
Filed under: Capsicum annuum
Lineage: Eukaryota; Viridiplantae; Streptophyta; Magnoliopsida; Solanales; Solanaceae
Description: long non-coding RNA (CANN_LNC019881)
Source: RNAcentral
AGACCUUUGGACAAAUUUGGAAGACAGAUAUGGUCAGUCAAAUGGGUCAAAAUUAUACCACCUACAAAAAGAAUUUAAGUGACUUGGUUCAAGGUUCUAGUGAUAUAGCAGGUUAUUUCACAAAGAUCAAAAGACUUUGGGAUGAACUAGACACUUUAAUUACUAAUGUAUGUUGUGAUUGUGUCUGUACUUGUGAAGGAAAAGUUAAAAUUAUUAAGUCUAUGCAAGAUGAAAGAUUGAUCCAUUUUUUAAUGGGUUUAAAUGACUCUUUUUCUCAUAUUGGAGGAACUAUAUUGAUGAUCGCUCCUCUUCCUAAUGUUAUCAUGGCUUACUCACUUUUAAUCCAAGAUGAAAAACAAAGAGAAGGUUAUGUUAAUAAUCAAUAUCCUGGAGAGUCUUCCUCUUUUUUGGUUGUUAAUAGGGCUGCAGGGAAUAAAAAAAAUGGAAAUCAUGAUUAUACAGGAAAAGGAAAAGUUGAUUUAAAGAAGAAUAGCCUUGUUUGUUCUUAUUGUAAGAAGUUGGGACAUACUAUAGACAAGUGCUACAGGAUUGUGGGCUUUCCGUAAGAUUUAAAGUUCAUCAGGUACAAGAAGAUUCAAGGAGGAACUCAUUGCAAUGCAGUCAUAACAGAGCCCCUCCUUCACAAGGUUUUUAUGCACAUGAAACAAAUGAAAAUCAACAGCUCUCACCAGAGCAGUUCACUCUACUCAACAAGUGAAAAUUGGUCAAUCAGAGGCUAAACCCUCAGAAGUUACUGCCAACUGCGUGUUCUGGUAUAACUAAUCUUGCUCAUCAAUUUCUUUCCUGUUUUAAUCAUAUCAAAUUCAACUCCUAGAUCAUAGAUUCAGGGGCAUCAGAACAUAUGCUUUUUGAUGUUUCUCUUUUUUCUUAUCGCACUCCUUUUGUCACACCUUUAACAGUAAAUCUACCUAACUCACAAAAGGUGAAGGUUACUCAUAAAGGAAAUGUUCAAAUCUUGCCAAAUUUGAUUUUACAUAAUGUUCUUUUUGUUCCAGAAUUCAAUUAUUAUCUUCUUUCUAUUGAGAAAUUAUGCCUUCAAUAUAAAUACAUACUAACUUUCUCUUCCACUGGUUGUUUCUUAUAGGCCCUUCAAUGAAGAGGCCACUGGUUCUUGGUGAAAGUCGUAAUGAUCUCUAUCUGCUCAAAUCCAACUCCACAACUCCUAAGUCUAGCAUUCAAGACAUCUUCAGUAUUCCAGUUUUACAAAGUUCAACAAUCUUUCCUAAUUCAACAUUUUCUUCUUUUUCUAGUAAUGUUUUAGGAUCUACGGUUGAUGUAAAUUUGUGGCAUAAGAGAUUAGGCCACUUAUCUUAUUCAUAAAUGAAAAGAAUAAAGUCAGUUAUUUGGAAUUUUCAAUCUCAUGCUAAUUUACCUUGUGAUAUUUGUCCAAUGGCCAAACAAACUAAAUUACCUAUCCCUUCAAGCAUUAUUUCUACCAUAUCAAUCUUUGAAUUAAUUCACAUAGUUUUAUAUGGGUUCCAUAUAAAACUAGCACAUAAGAUGGUUUCAAAUAUUUUCUUACUAUAGUUGAUGAUUUUAGUAGAGGAACUUGGACAUUUCUUUUGACUACUAAGAGUAAUGCUUUUCCCCUUCUCAAACACUUUCUUAGUAUGGAAGAAAGACAAUUCAAUACUAAAGUUAAAAUAAUCAGAUCUGAUAAUGCUUUAGAAUUAGGUUCUAGUUUCAUCAUUUCAGACUUCUUCAAAACUCAAGGUAUUUUACAUCAAAUUUCUUGUGUCGGAACUCCCCAACAAAAUGGAAUAGUAGAAAGAAAGCAUAGACACCUAUUGGAAAUAUGUUGGUCUCUUAUGCAUCAAUCACAAGUCCCUACUUCUUUCUGGGGAGAUUGUCUUCUUAGUUCUACUAUUUUAAUAAACAGAUUUAUCAAGAGUAUUAAAAUUCACCACUCCUUACGAAGUGCUUCACAAAACUAAACCAUCCUAUAAUUUUUGAGAACUUUUGGAUGUUUAUAUUAUAUUUCAACUCUUUUCGCUCAUAGGGGAAAAUUGGAACCUAGAGCUGUCAAAGGUAUAUUUUUGGGAUACCUACUAGGAAAAAGGGAUAUAAAGUCAUGAGUCUUCUUACAAGAAAAAUUAUUUAUUCAAGGGAUGUAGUUUUUCAUGAGAAUAUAUUUCCCCAUUCUUCUCCAUCUCCUUCUAUUCUUAUUUUCCCACAAAAUUUUGAUUAUUUUCACUAUGCUAGCGAUCCUAUUACGGAGCCAAUUUCUCCUACAAAACCUCCUGCAAAGGGCCUUGAACCACCGAAUUCACCUCUUGUUCAUACUUCAUCUUCUAGUCCAACUAUUUUGUCACCUGGGAAUGUAAAUCCUAGUUUUCUUUCUCCUACAACUCCACCUCUUCCUAGUUCACAAAUCGAUACUAUUUCUACUACUUUACUCCAUCAUUCAACUCCUAAAGUCACCAGAUCAGGAAGGACUCAACAUAAGCCUUCUUACAUAAAAGAUUUUAUCUGUAAUGCAGUACAUUUUACUGCACUUACUGAUACUUGUUUUGCAGCUUCUAUUCAAACUCCUAUUUUUUCCUUCUCUACCCUCUCCAUUACUAAUCAACAAAUGUUAAACUCAAUUUCUAUUAUUAAGGAACCUUCUAGUUAUGUAGAAGCUUCCACGCAUCACGGUUGGCAGGAAACUAUGAAAAGUGAGUUUGAAGCACUGAUUUCUAAUCACAUUUGGGAGACUAUGGAAUUACAAGUGGGACAUAGAGCUCUUCCUUGCAAAUGGGUUUACAAAUUCAAGCAUAAGUCUGAUGGAUUCGCUGAGAGACUUAAGGCUAGACUUGUUAUAAGAGGAGAUAUUCAAAGAGAAGGAAUCGAUUACACUGAGACUUAUUCCCUUGUUGUUAAGAUGACUACCAUAAGAUUUUUGUUUUCAGUAGCCGUUAAGAUGAAUUGGGGGAUUUAUCAAUUAGAUGUAAACAAUGAGUUUCUACAUGGAGAACUACAAGAGGAAGUUUUGAAAUUUCUCCCCGGAAUGCAACCUACUAAUCCUAAUCUCAUUUGCAAGCUUAGAAAAUCUCUUUAUGGUUUAAAACAAGCCUCGAGGUAGUGGUAUGGUAGGAUCAUAGCUGUACUCAACUUCAAAGGUUAUAUUUAUUCUUUGAAUGACUAUUCUUUAUUUUUCAAACAUACAGGGAAUUCUAUUUCACUUGUUGCUGUUUAUGUCGAUGAUAUUUUACUAACCGACAAUGAUCCUAUUGAACUCAAUUCUCUUAAGUCAUUUCUCAAUGAUGAAUUUAAAAUCAAGGACCUCGGAGAGGUGCAUUAUUUUUUGGGAAUGGAGGUUAUUAGGGAAAAUCAUAGACUUAUUCUUAGUCAAAGGAAAUUUACCUUGGAAUUGCUGGAUGAAUUUGAUUCUCAGAAAUCAGCUCCUGUUUCUUCUCCUUUGGAUCCUUCACAAAAACUAAAGAUGGACUAAGGUGAGUUAUUAGCCGACCCAAUAACUUAUCGACGGCUAUUAGGUAAAUUAAAUUUUCUCACUCAUACCAGGCUAGAUUUAUCUUUUGCUAUGCAACAUUUGACCCAGUAUAUGCAGCAGCCAAGGCUUCCUCAUUUUUUGGCAGUACUCAGAGUUAUUCGGUACCUCAAAUUAGCUUCUGGCCAAGGUUUAUUUUUCUCAAUUUCACAUUUGAUUGAGCUCAUGGCUUUCUGCAUUUCCGAUUGGGGAUCCUGUCCCGAUUCCAGACGCUCUGUUUCUGGCUAUUUCAUUACUCUUAGGGGAUCAUCUAUUUCAUGGAAAUAUAAGAAGAAAUCUUCUAUUUCUCUAUUUUCUGCUGAGGUAGAAUAUCGAUCUAUGAGGCGUGUUGUUGGUGAACUGACCUGGUUUGUAAAAUUGCUUCAUGAUCUUUCUAUCACUCCAUCUCUCCCAAUUACUCUUCACUCGGACAGUCAAUUUGUCAUCCACAUCGCAAAAAAUCUUGUCUUCCAUGAACGGACCAAACAUGUGGAGAUCGAUUGUCACUUCUUUCGACAACAAUACCUUGCUAGACUGAUUUCUUUAUCAUAUGUUCCUUCAUCUGCUCAACUUGCAGAUCUCUUCACCAAACCGUUGUCAGGGCCUUCAUACUUUUCCAUCCUUUGCAAGUUGGGUGUCUCUGGUUUCCCCUCCAACUUGUGGGGGCUGGUGGUGUUGGAAUUUCAAAGCUCAAAGAAGAAUACAAUGAAGAAGAGGAAGAAACGAAUAUGCUGGGCAAAGAAAAGAAAUUGAGGAACAUGAUCCAAAUUAAAAAGUCACGUGCAGAAGACCCCAAGUAAAGAAAAGCUGGACAAUUUUUUUUUGUAAAUAUAUUUUUCUUUUGUUUUGUAUUUAAUUAGAUAUACAUGAGUUGUUCUCAACCAAUAGGAAAAUAGAUAGAUGUAUAGUUUGAUUACAAUUGGACUCUUUUUCAGCUGUAUAAAUACAUGUACAGAAUACAAAAGUAAAGAAAACAGACAUACAAUUUCC